RNAcentral lists this ribosomal RNA (510 nucleotides) under uncultured bacterium. Its description in RNAcentral is "bacterial SSU rRNA". It matches the Rfam family "Bacterial small subunit ribosomal RNA", at positions 8 to 502 of the family's 1533-position model. The record is from RNAcentral.
AGAGUUUGAUCCUGGCUCAGAACGAACGCUGGCGGCGUGCUUAAUACAUGCAAGUCGAACGAGAAAUCCCGACUUCGGUUGGGAGAGUAAAGUGGCGAACGGGUGAGUAACACGUGGAAAAUCUGCCCUUAUGUCUGGGAUAAUGUUCCGAAAGGGAUUGUAAUACCGGAUAAUACCUUAGAGCGGCAUCGCUUUAAGGUCAAAGGCGGGGUAACCUGCCGCACGAGGAUGAUUCCGCGCUCCAUUAGCUUGUUGGUGAGGUAACGGCCCACCAAGGCUGCGAUGGAUAGCCGACCUGAGAGGGUGACCGGCCACACUGGGACUGAGAUACGGCCCAGACUCCUACGGGAGGCAGCAGUAGGGAAUAUUGCGCAAUGGACGAAAGUCUGACGCAGCAACGCCGCGUGGGUGAUGAAGCAUCUUGGUGUGUAAAACCCUGUCAGUGGGGAAGAAACGUAUAGGGAGUAACUGCCCUGUGCCUGACGUACCCACAAAGAAGUCCCGCUAACU